UGAAUUGCAGAAUUCAGUGAAUCAUCGAAUCUUUGAACGCACAUUGCGCCGCCAGUAUUCUGGCGGGCAUGCCUGUUCGAGCGUCAUUCAACCCUCAAAGUCCCCUGUGGACUCGGUGUUGGGGACCGGCGAGACAGCCGCGGAUCUUCUUCCGCAGCGAGUCGCCGCCCCCCAAAUGACUUGGCGGCCUCGUCGCGGCCCUCCUCUGCGUAGUAUAGCACACCUCGCAACAGGAGCCCGGCGAAUGGCCACUGCCGUAAAACCCCCAACUUUUUCAGAGUUGACCUCGAAUCAGGUAGGAAUACCCGCUGAACUUAA
This 318-nucleotide ribosomal RNA is filed under the name uncultured fungus. Its description in RNAcentral is "eukaryotic LSU rRNA". The stretch from base 1 to 86 matches the Rfam family "5.8S ribosomal RNA", at positions 68 to 154 of the family's 154-position model. Lineage: Eukaryota; Fungi. The record is from RNAcentral.